RNA transcript from Acinonyx jubatus (cheetah), 2562 nucleotides. It is a transcript of the gene named inactive serine/threonine-protein kinase TEX14-like, with no coding region annotated. NCBI's taxonomy places the organism in Eukaryota, Metazoa, Chordata, Mammalia, Carnivora, Felidae. The record is from RefSeq and is a predicted model, not a curated record. The transcript has 16 exons.
GGGAGGGGGCACUGAUGCGCAUGCGCCGGUGCUUCCCGCGGCCGGCCAGAGCUAGAGUGCCUGGGUCACGUGGCAGUCACGUAGUGCUUGCUGUGAGAGCCCAACGGACUCCCAGCCGGCUCUGUUUUUAUUGCCCCCAGAGGUCCUGUCUUCACUUUCUCCUGCCCUCAUGAGACUCCCUAGGUGAUCCCCACCCAGGAGCUGACUGAGUCCGGAGCCCACAGAUGCCCUCCCCGCGCUCUCGAUUCCCCGUGGAGCUGGGCUCUGUUAGGGAUCCAGAAGCCCAGGUGGGACAGCUGCAUCGCCUGGCUGUAGCUGGGGGCCCAGGAUGGGGCCUCACGCGGCUCCUGCGCAGAGUUGUCCAGGUCGAUGGUGAGAACUCUGCUGGGCAGACGGGGCUCUUCCUUUUGGCGCUGCUGGGCCACAGCUCUGCCGUGCAGCUCCUGCUGACCUUCGGCGCCAACCCUAACCACCGCUGCCUCGAUGGCAGCACGCCUGUGCACACAGGUGCCUUCUCGGGCCGCCGCCCGGUGGUGCUGCACCUGUUGUGGGCAGGGGGUGACCUGCGUCUACGUGACCAGCAGGGUCGCACGCCUCGGGACUGGGCAGAGCAGGGUGGUGCCAGGCAGAGCCGGGAGGUGCUGGAGCUGCUAGAGCUAUGCCGAGCCCGCGUAGCCGCACUGGUGCAUGGCGGUGCGUUGGCAUCCAGUGUGUCCCUGGGCCAGCUGCAGGCCGGCUCUGUACACCACCUGUGUGGCUCCCUGUGGUUGCCGCGGCUGCUGCGUGCGGACGGGGCACCGAGGCAGGAGCAGACCAGAAGACCCCCCCAAAUCCCAGCCUUGGGGUUUGGCCAGCUGAGCAGCCUGUGGCCACUGGGGCUGCUGACGGGCAUACCCCUCGCAGACCCCAAGGAGCUGCUGCCAGCCCAGGGCGAGCCCGACCGCACCUACGAGAGCAGCUCCCGCACCCUCAUGGCCAACCUCCUGUGGAGGGGCCACCCUGUGACAGCUCGGCAGCUGAAGGUACCGGGAACUCAGCCUGAUGUGCUGUUGGCCGACCUUCAACACUGCAGCACCCUGCACCACCCCAACAUGUUGCUGCUGAUGGCACUGAGCCCCUCGGUGGACCUGUCAGGACUGUGCCUCCUCUUCGAACCCGUGUGGCUGGGCUCCCUGCACGUGGUGCUGCACCCACGGGGACCCAGUCAGGGAGGGCCCCGCAGUGUGCCAGGCCUGCCGCCCGGCCACCUGCUGCUGCAGGUGCUGGAGGCCCUGCUGUUCCUGCAGGCCCGCUGGCGUGCUCAUGGCGGCCUUAGCUCUCAUGCCGUGCAGCUGGUACGGCCAGGCCUGGCCAAGGUGGGCAGCCUGGAGCACGGGCGCCCGCUGCACCGAUGCUGGCCGCCGCCCAGGCCACAGCAGGGCUACCCCCGGGGAGGCCCAGGCCCAGGGCUACCCCCGCCUCCUGAACUGUACCCAUGGCUGCCACUUGAGCUCAUCUGCGGUGACGUGCCUGCCGCCACCUCAGAUCUCUACAGCUUCUGCAUCCUGGCCCAGGAGGUCUUCACCGGAGAGCUGCCCUGGGCUGGGAGAAAGGGGCCUGAGGUGAAGGCUAAAUUGGAGGCAGGUGAGAGCCUGGCCCUGGAUCCCCUGGUACCAGCCCCCUACCAGGCCCUGGUUCAGGCUGGGCUGGGCCUAGGGCCCGCUGACCGCUGGGGCAGCCUGCAGAGUACUCGAUACCUGCUGCGGGAGGCCAUGGCCCAGGACUCCACUCCUGAGGUGAGCUCCCGGAAGCAUUGGCCCACACGGUACCUUUCAUCCCAGGGUUCCCCACCAGAGACACUGUACUGUGAGGUGGCUCCCAGAGCCAAGACUAUACCCAGGCCUGUGCCCCCUGUGAUGCCCCUAGGCCCCUCCCCAUGCCAGGUCCCGGAGACUCCUGAGACCCCAGGCCACAGCAGAGUCCAGAGGGGCACAGCCUGGGACUCAGGCAGCAGCUUGACUCCAGGCAGCCUGAGCCCCAGCCCCAGCUUCUACCCAGGCUUCAGCCCCGCAGCCAGGGUCAGCCUGCACCGCUGCCUGGAACCCAGCUCAACACCAUCAGGACUCAGCCUCCCUUCUGGGGACCCAGGGCUCUUUGGAGGAGUUUGAGAGGAAGUGCUCAGUCAGGAUUCAAGCCCUGCAGGGAGUGUGGCGUCACACACACAGGGCUGCCCUGCGGGGCCCCUCUACCGUGUGAGCCUAGCCCCUGCCUGCUGACCCACAAGGAGGCCUCCCACACCCUGGAGGCUUCUGGCAGGGAAGGCCAUGAGGGCAGGUGAAGCAGAGGACCCUGAGCCUAUCCCCUGCCCCGUGCCACCUUCCCGGGCACCCUCCAUGGCCACUGGGUGGCAGCUCCAGCCUUUUUCCCCUGCAGGUGCCCAGUCCCUAGCUGAUCAAAGGAGAUCUCUUCUCCAGCCUGCAGAAGAUGGACCUGCUGGAGGAGGUCAUAGCAGAGCUGCAAGGUGGAUGCCAACUCGGAGACAAGCCCAGCCUCGACCCCACUCCUGACACAGAUUCUUAGGGU